UGGGGAAUUUUGCACAAUGGGGGCAACCCUGAUGCAGCGACGCCGCGUGAUUUAGAAGGCCUUCGGGUUGUAAAAAUCUUUUGUAUAGGAAGAAAAUGACAGUACUAUACGAAUAAGGUCCGGCUAAUUACGUGCCAGCAGCCGCGGUAAUACGUAAGGACCGAGCGUUGUCCGGAAUCAUUGGGCGUAAAGGGUACGUAGGCGGUUAGAAAAGUUAGAAGUGAAAGGCUAUAGCUCAACUAUAGUAAGCUUUUAAAACUGUUUAACUUGAGGGAUGGAAGGGAAAGUGGAAUUCCUAGUGUAGCGGUGAAAUGCGCAGGUAUUAGGAGGAAUACCGGUGGCGAAGGCGACUUUCUGGCCAUUAUCUGACGCUGGGGUACGAAAGGGUGGGUAGCAAACAGG
Molecule: ribosomal RNA, 402 nt
Filed under: Fusobacteriota bacterium
Lineage: Bacteria; Fusobacteriati; Fusobacteriota
Description: Fusobacteria bacterium partial 16S ribosomal RNA
Rfam family: Bacterial small subunit ribosomal RNA
Source: RNAcentral